Molecule: long non-coding RNA, 6210 nt
Filed under: Setaria viridis
Lineage: Eukaryota; Viridiplantae; Streptophyta; Magnoliopsida; Poales; Poaceae
Description: long non-coding RNA (SVIR_LNC011277)
Source: RNAcentral
AUCCGUAGCCAUACAUCAGGAUUACUUCCACGAUGGGAAGGUAUCAACAAAUAUUACAUUUUUACAUACAUAUCGAGGUGCGAAUUAUUACAGACCAUAGUUUGAAACAAACUUAACAAUGCAGGUUAAACAGUUCUAAGAGUUUAAAACAUAGCUGGUCUAGGCAAGUCAAACAACCGAGUUUUAUUUCUAGGGUAUUGUGAGACUCGUAAAAAUACCCUAGUUCUUCGAGGCUUCUCCCUCGGCAGACUCCUGCUGAGGUUCUGAAAUAGCAAUGAAGGAUUCCCCUGAGUACGGGUUACUCAGCAAGACUAACCCAACUAACCAAUAUAGAUAGUUUUUCCAAAACUAAAUGAUAGCUGUUUAGUGUACUGGCUGACUCACAUUUUGCAGAAAAGAGCUUACUAUAAGUGGAACCUUAGUUUUAUCUUUUAUUUCAGAUUGAGUUUGUUACCUGACCAGUCUAGAUGGCGAAAAUAUUUUUGCAACCAGAUGGAACUAAGUCAUACAGCACAUUUAAUUUCGGAAAAAACGUUGCAUUCAACUGGAUUAAUUCAUAACCGAGAAUUGCGGUGAUCCGGAUCAAUUUACAUCCUGUAGGAGAUACCCUGACCACCAGCUAUGUACAACUGUCCAGGUUGCACAUAACAAUCUUUCGAUUAGCCGCACCCAAAGAUUGGGAAUAUGACUACCCGAACCUAGGGACGCACCCCCACAUGGGACCCUACGUCUGGCCUGAUCUCCAUGUGAGUUUCCGGCUACGCCCCUGCCAUUCUCCAGCACGUCAAGCACGUGUAUGAAAUAUUUCCGAUCAGAGAGCCAACUAACCUACCGGGCUUUACUGGUCCAUACCCAGUAAGCAACCAAGUAAAACUCACUUGAUCAAAGGUUAAGACAACGAUCGGGCCUUAACCAAAUUAACUUAGCAAAUAGAACUGCCAUCUCUAGCUUCUGUCUGCAUUUCCAAUUUCCAGGCUAUUUUCCUUGACCAACAUGUAUGACCAAAUUUACCUUAGAGCUAAGCAACCAAGUUGAUUGAAGUAUCUAAGCAUUGCUAAGCAUAGAAUAGUUACUAAUUAGUGAACAAGUGGCAAAGGUGUCCUCUAAACAAGGUAGGAUCAUGCACAAGAGUAGGUUUCAAUCAACUCCUAGACUUAAUGCAUUCAUAAAGAAAAUAACCAAUAAUUGGACACAUGAAAUAAUAACCCCAAAGUAGGUAGGCAUAGAUGCAUCGGGGCUUGCCUUGAUCUGUAAAAAGGUUAGUGCUGUCUGACGGUCCGGCUUCACAGGGGAUCAACUCAACAAUCUCCUCAAACUCCGAAGGUUCUUCAGAUAAAUCCAAGAAUUCCACUUCUGGAGCUUCGGUGUCUACGAUUUAGUAUAUGCAGGAGUUAGAGAUGUAAAUUUUUGAACACAUGACUAUACAACUUUCCUUCAUGAUAAAGUUGCAAGCCAACAAGUGACUAUACAAUCUAUCUUCAUGAUAAAGUUGCAAGCCAACACUAAACUACCCAUAAAGAUUAACCCACCAUUUUUAAUCUUUUUACUAACCUACCUUAGGCCCUUUUCUUUUAUUUUUAGAAAGCAUUAUAAUUAUUUUCUAAUCUCAAAACUUAAUUCCUAUAGCUUAAUAAUAAUUUGUGAAUAAGAAAACAUUAUUCAAAAUUUUUAUGUAUUUUAUAAAGGUUAAGCAUUUAUUUAAAUACCUUAAUCAAAAGGCAUUAAAAAAAUACCUAAAUUUUAUUAUUUUUCCUAAGGUUUAAAAUUUUUAAUACAUAAAAAAAAUAAAACAAUCCUAACAAAAUUAGUUUCACUAUUUUUGGACAUUUCUAGAAUUUCCCGUGAAUUAAAUGGUGAAAACCGAAUUUGAACUGUUUAUCUACAAAAAGGAAAACAUAUGAUUAUCCAAAACCUCGGGUCAAACUUUUUUUUUACUACACUCCUAUCUACCCUCUCUCUCUUGCAUUGGGCUCCUUGGGCCGGCCCCUCUUUUCCUUUUCCUAUCUACCCGCCGGCCCACCCCCUUCUCUCUCCUUUUCUUUCCCUGGCACGUGGGCCCUUGGCGCCAGGGGCUUCUUCUUCCCUGCGCCCAAAAGCAAGGCACGACAGGGGAUGGCGGGGCUCGAUGGCCGGUGCCCUGCCGGCGACGGGGCCAGGCCGGGGAGGCACCCCCAGGCCACGGCGCACCUGUGGGCGGCGGCGGCCCCCCUGGAGAUGGCCUGAGCCGGUCUCUCCAUGGCGGCGGGUGGCUUGGUCGGCGGCCGGCCGUGGCCAAGCAUGGCGACGGCACACACACGGCCCUCGGCUCCUCCUACGACUCCCUAGAGACCCCAAGACUUACCUAAAACUUACCAGACAACAAGAGGAUGGCGGCAAGGAGGGGCUCACCGUGAGCAGGACAUUGGCGGCGGGCUGACGGAAACAACGGCGAUUAGGAGCUCGCCGGCGGGGGAACUGGAAAAACGGGGAGGCGUGGGUGUUGGCGAGGUGCUGGUGGGGAUUUAGGUGGGAGGAAUCGAUGGGGAAGGCAGUGGAGCGGCGGAAAUCGGCCGGCAACCGAAGCUUGGCCGUGCUCUGCUCGUGACGGUGAAAACAGAGCAGCCCGGUAAAACGGAUAAACUCGACGGCGGGAGCAGUACAUAUACAAAAGUUUUACCGCGUGCAUGAGUGCCACCUCGGCGGCUUGUAGGCUUGCAUGGGUGCGGACGUGGCCCAACGCAUCGCGCUGGCCGGCGGGCGAGAGUGGCGGCGGCGGCACGACUCUGUCUCCUGCUCGUCCUGUCUUUCCUUCUUUCCAUUUUCCUUUGCUCCGAAGUCUACUCCUCCAAAUUGGUCGAUUUCGAAUCCUACGGUCCAAAUAUCCUUUAAGCAAACUUGUAGAGGAAUUCUAUCACUUCAAUUGAUAGAUUGGCCUUUACCCGAGCUAAGCACUCUAGGACCGAAAUUUUUAACCCCAAGUUCGGCAAAACCGAACUGUACUGAAUCCCUUUGAUUCAGUUCGUCAGGCACUAUAACAAGACCAUUUGCCCUUCUUUUAACUCAAUUUGAGUAGCUCAAACUUGCUCCAUAUGGUUCAACCCUCAUCUAUUUGUGUUCUAUAACUAACAAAAAUUCCAUUUUGCACAUGAACUCAUAUACCCUUUGCACUAUAUUUCCCUGAAACUUGCUCCAAAUAUGAUCAUCCACUGCUGUUUCAGACUUAGAAAAAUUACUUCAGCAACUAGGCUGAAAUCUGCUUAAUUGCUGAUUUUGAGUUUCAUUUUAAAUUUGAGUCCUCCACUUUCUCUAGCCAACAUCUCACUAAGCUUCUCCGAAGACCAUAUUCCACUAAUGUUUAAAAAUAUUUACCCACUGAUAUGAAAAAUUAUGCAGGAACUAAUUCCAAAGUUAGGUACUCAUUCUGAUUUUCAGAAUCGCGUAUUUUCGGACGGAAAAUAAUAACUCUGUUGAUUCCUUCUUCGGUUACAUUCUUGAGGGGUUGGAGACUGGUUUAAGACUAGAAUUAGUCUCCAACUGCACUCCUUUGAGUUCUAAACACCCUCAAGCCUCAACUUCAUAUUUUUGCCAAAUUUAUCCAAAUUUGAAACUCCAAAAUGCAAUUUCGGUCAAAUUUGGCUCGAAUUUGACUUUGAGUCAAUAUUACCUUUCUUCUACUCCAAAGCUCAUCAUUAACUCUUUAUUGACAUCCUUAGGCUGUCAUUAACACGAGGUGUUACACCUUAGCACAUUUUUCAUUAAGAAGAAAGCAGUUUACAGACACAAUCUCGAUGAAGCUAAACAAAGCUUGACCAGCACAAGAGGACAAAGGACCAAAGAAAGAGAAACACUCAAGAAACGCAAAAACAACCACCAAACGACUCAAAGCAAUAAAGAGGAAGCACACUCGAACCCAAAACCUCAUCAAGGGUGCUAAAGGUCUCAGAACCGCAAUGGUGGCAAAGCAUCUACCCAAACAUCAGGAUCACGACGGCAAAGCAUCCGCCCAAACACAACAACGGUGGCAAAGCAUCCACCCAACCAGCACGACCAUGGCGACAAAGCAUCCGCCUGAAGCAACCAACGACGAUGGCAAAGUAUCCGCCAGAGCAAGAACGGCGGCAAAGUAUCCGCCAGAGAAGAGGGGACGGCAAAGCAUCCGCCAGACGACGACGACCUAAGCAACCCGGGCGAGGUGGACAAUCGAAGCGAAGGCAGGCGCAGAAGAAGACACUUCCCAAGGAGAGUAGACGAUCACCAUGAGGACCUUGAUCGGCUGGAGACGACUGGGGGCAAUGUUCAACAACGGUCCCUGAAGUGACGGCAACAAGAACCCGCAGAGCUUCCUAGACGGUGCAGAGAGGAGGCGACGCAACUGGCGCCGUCGUCGUCUGACCAACACGGUAAGGCUUUCACCUGGAAGCUCAUCGAAGGGAAGGGAAAAGGGGAAUGAAUGAUGCCUUCAAGAAGGGAAGCGGCACCCGGGGGCGUCGCCGUCAUUGAUCCGCAAGGAGGCACAAGGCUUUCUCCUACACCCCGUUCCCUCCCCAGAAAUCACCACCGCCACCAGGAGCACGGGGACCACCGGGCGCCAAGGAGCCGAAGAAUGCCGCCACAACCGCGAGCUGGGAUAGCCAUUUGGCCGGUCCCCCCCCCCACCGGUGGAAGAUGGCGCAGCCACCAGAGAGAGGUUGGGGGGGCACCCGGCCGGUCACGUGGCGGUGGGGCACGGAGCCCCGCCCCUGACGGACCCGAUAGCCGGGGAGACAGCAGCCACCCUCGCCGCCCGCCCACCAGUAGUGGAAGGGGCGGCAAGGGGAGGGAUGCGAAUUCGACUACGGCAAGUGCGGAUCCGGCCGUCGAGGAGGCAGCAGCCUCCUGACCGCGGUCCCCUGUCCUCCAGUCGGUGGAAGGGGCAGUACGCGGAGGUCAUCGUCGGGAAAGGGACCCCCACGCCAAGGAUGUGUAGAUCCGGGCUCAAAGGAGGUGGAUCUGCCAUCGGCUGCCGGCGCCGGCAGCGGACCCAGACGACCGGCGGCGCCUAGGGUUUUCGGAGUGGGAGUGGAGAGGGAGAGAGAAGGAGGGAAGGGGAGGGAGAGAGCGUGAUGCGGGGGCUGGCUUUGGCGCCGCUGCUGGCAGCCGCCGCCGCCAUCGGCGGCGGAGGCAGCCGUCGGAGUAAGGCGGGUGGGGUUGGUGUGGGAGGACGGCGCGGCCGAGAGGUGGAUAGCUACAAACCUCUGCUCGACCCUAACUGUGUUAGAUAUCGGUUGAAGAUUGAAGAUACUUGGGAUAUAAUUUGGGAUGGAGGGAGUACGUCUAUUGUUAUCACGCUGUCAUGACAAAACAGUGUCUAGUAGCAGGGUAAAUAGUUGUAAAGAACAAAAAUGAUGUGGCCAGCUCAGUCGAAUGUACAUCAGCAAGCAUGGCGUCACGGCGGACGUCGCCUGUGCAGAGAUAGAUUCCCUGACUGAAGAUGCAUGGAAAACCAUAAACAGAGCACGCUUUGAGAACAAUGAACUACAGCAGUGCAACGAAUUUUCAACCUAACUGUCAGCAUGCCAUUAAUGUACGGUGAUAAGAAGGAUGUAUUCACAUUCAGCGACGGGCUCAAGGGGGUCAUCAAGCGCCUGUUUCUCAAGCCUGUCCUGCUCUAGACAACAGAAUGCUGCUAAUUCUAUUCACACAGCCCGAAGAACGAGCUGUGUAUCCCAGACAAAUAAAAGAUGUAUUCGGAUUAAACAUAGGGUGACCAUGUACUUGUAACUUGUAAGCAUAAGUUUAUGUUAUAAAUAUUACAUGGAGUAUUUACAACAAUACAUACUAUCGUCUUAUCCGCGUGAUAAAUAAUUCUUCUGAUAAAAGAUGACACUGGCACACUCCUUUCCUACCUCCAGUGCAUUUUACAUAAGAGCACCCAGAAAAUGACUAUGAUCUCCUUCUAGAUAUUCACGGUAAAAGCAAGCAUACCGGGCUAAAAAAAUAGCGAGGUGGAUUUGGUCCCUAAGCCCAUAGUGUUUAGUGUAAACUGCAACGAAUCCUGGACAUUUCGGCUGGUUCAAUCUGCUACACCGGAAUCAUAACAAAGACCGUCGUCCCCAAAUCGAAGUCAGCGGGGAGAGGAGGGCAAAGAAUUUACCGAGCGAAGGUGUUUCCGGCUGCCGGCUGCCGGCCAUUCUUCCUUUCGUGGCGAAUCAGGAGGGCACACCGACGACGAACGGCGAGGCCGCCGCCCCG